Molecule: ribosomal RNA, 327 nt
Filed under: Aname sp. MYG185
Lineage: Eukaryota; Metazoa; Arthropoda; Arachnida; Araneae; Anamidae
Description: partial 12S ribosomal RNA
Source: RNAcentral
CCUGAAAUGAAAAAGGUAAUAUUAUGUAAGAAACCUAUGCUCUUUGGCGGCCUUAUUCCUUAUUGGAGGAACUUGUCCAGUAAUCGAAAUUACUCGUUAAUUUUCUCUCUUUAAUUGUUUUUAUACCGUCGUCUUAAGGACAUUAUAAUAAUAACUGUCCUAGACUGAGUCCCCAGAUAAGUCAGAUCAAGGUGAAGCGUAUUUAAGAGGUUAGGGUGAGUUAUAUUUUAAACCUAUUAAGGGAUUUACUUUCAAAAAAUUAUCUGAAUUAAAAUUCAACAGUACUUAAAAAUUAAUAGCUUUUAAGGAAGAAGUAAAAAAAGGUGU